This 205-nucleotide unclassified non-coding RNA is filed under the name Hevea brasiliensis (rubber tree). The record is from RNAcentral. Lineage: Eukaryota; Viridiplantae; Streptophyta; Magnoliopsida; Malpighiales; Euphorbiaceae.
CAAUUUCACCCUCUACGAACUUCUUUCGAGAAAAUGCAAUCCGAAGACUCGAAAUCCCCUGAAUUCCCUAUCCCUUCGUCUAAUUUCCACACUCCGACCAACUUCCCGCCACCGACUCAACGGCCAACUCCGGCGGCCAGCAAUCUGGCCAACAACCCUUCUAGUCAGUCCAUAAUCCUCUCUCCGGCCCCUCAGCCCCAAAGAG